Molecule: ribosomal RNA, 476 nt
Filed under: uncultured bacterium
Lineage: Bacteria
Description: bacterial SSU rRNA
Rfam family: Bacterial small subunit ribosomal RNA
Source: RNAcentral
CUGGCGGCGUGCUUAACACAUGCAAGUCGAACGAGGGUGUUCGAGAGCUUGCUCUGGGACAGCCGAGUGGCGGACGGGUGAGUAACGCGUGAGCAACCUGUCUCACACAGGGGGAUAACGCAUCGAAAGAUGUGCUAAUACCGCAUAAGACCACGGGAGGGCAUCCUUUUGAGGUCAAAGGAGCAAUCCGGUGUGAGGUGGGCUCGCGUCUGAUUAGAUAGUUGGUGAGGUAACGGCCCACCAAGUCAACGAUCAGUAGCCGACCUGAGAGGGUGAUCGGCCACAUUGGGACUGAGACACGGCCCAGGCUCCUACGGGAGGCAGCAGUGGGGAAUAUUGGGCAAUGGGCGCAAGCCCUGACCCAGCAACGCCGCGUGAGGGAAGAAGGUUUUCGGAUUGUAAACCUCUGUCCUAUAUGAAGAGAUAGAGACGGUAGUAUAGGAGGAAGCCCCGGCUAACUACGUGCCAGCCGCCGC